Molecule: ribosomal RNA, 433 nt
Filed under: uncultured bacterium
Lineage: Bacteria
Description: partial 16S ribosomal RNA
Rfam family: Bacterial small subunit ribosomal RNA
Source: RNAcentral
AACGAACGCUGGCGGCAUGCCUAACACAUGCAAGUCGAACGAGACCUUCGGGUCUAUUGGCGCACGGGUGCGUAACGCGUGGGAACCUGCCCUUAGGUUCGGAAUAACUCCCCGAAAGGGGUGCUAAUACCGGAUAAUGUCUUCGGACCAAAGAUUUAUCGCCUUUGGAUGGGCCCGCGUUGGAUUAGCUAGUUGGUAGGGUAAAAGCCCACCAAGGCGACGAUCCAUAGCUGGUCUGAGAGGAUGAUCAGCCACACUGGGACUGAGACACGGCCCAGACUCCUACGGGAGGCAGCAGUGGGGAAUAUUGGACAGUGGGCGGAAGCCUGAUGCAGCAAUGACGCGUGAGUGAUGAAGGCAUUAGGGUUGUAAAGCUCUUUUAACCGGGAUGAUAAUGACAGUACCGGGAGAAUAAGCUCCGGCUAACUCCGUG